CAUAGUGGGCCUUGUGUCGCUGCUGCUGCAGCCCGAGGGUGCCCUGGGCGAGGAGCUGCAAGUGCCACAGCCCAGGGCCGCCAGUUGGCUGAACUUAGGCUCCUUCAAGAAGUACAUGGGGAAGCUCUUCAACAGCAGCCCGAAGAAAUCUAAAAACCACAAGAAAACUGCGAACGCCACGAACGCCUCCCCAUCGAAAGGCACGAAAUACCCUCCAUGGACCACCACGAACCCCCAGUGGCUGAAUACCUCGGAACCCCGACCACCGACCUCCUCCCGGGGCCCCAGGUAGGACAGCCUGGACGCUCGGCACCGAGCCAGGGGCCUCGGGACUGGGGGAAGCUUGGGUGAUAGCGAGAGGAAGCUCCUGGGGGCGGGCAUUCGGGGAGACACAGCGCCCCGGCGGGGGAGCUUCGUUCUCCAGGCUGGGCCUUGGCCUCCAGACGCCUCUCUCCCACCAACCCCUUUAUAUUGAGAGGGGCCUCAACCCCUCCUCAUCCCCUCAGUGGAAACAAUAAAGACAAAUUUCUGUUGC
Molecule: long non-coding RNA, 535 nt
Organism: Cercocebus atys (sooty mangabey)
Lineage: Eukaryota; Metazoa; Chordata; Mammalia; Primates; Cercopithecidae
Exons: 2
Source: RefSeq, a predicted model, not a curated record